CUUGUGAUAUAGCCUUGGAAGGAAAACAUUAAAAGUGCAGUCUCAAACUCAAGAGCACUUAAGACAUUUGGAGUGCUGAGGGAUCAAACUUCAGAUUUGCCACUCACAGCUGGGGAAAGUGAAAUGACAGCAAAGCAAAGCACAGUGUUGUAAGUACACCUUACUGGGAACACCUUUACACUUGGCACUCUGCUGGUCUGGAGGCUUCAGCCACAGGACCUGGGCACCUUUCAGAUACUGAGUUGACCAUGAACUCCUCUGGAUCCCAAAGUAUUGGAGAGGCUAUCUAGAAUACUUAAGCUUUCCCAGAAUGGGUGGUGCAACAGGACAAUGAUCCCAAGCAUACCAGUUAAUCUCCAAAUUUACAACAGAAUAGCUGACGAAGAAAGAUAUCAAGAUGUUGCAAAGGCCCAGUCAUAGCCGAGACCUGAACCUGACUGAAAUGCUGUGGUGGGAUCUGAAGAGAGCUGUGCAUGAAUGCCUGCUCUCCAUUACAGGUUUCCUACGAAACAACAGGAAGCAGAACCACAGGUACGACGGACUGAGGUACACAUGCUGUUCAGUUCCCCCAAAUCUAUGUUUUAUUUACAAGCAGCUCUGGCUGUACAGAAAUGUAAACCUGUCUGAUAUGUCUUAAUAAAUAGUAAAUUAUUGUGGAAAAAAUUAA
Molecule: long non-coding RNA, 667 nt
Organism: Oreochromis niloticus (Nile tilapia)
Lineage: Eukaryota; Metazoa; Chordata; Actinopteri; Cichliformes; Cichlidae
Exons: 4
Source: RefSeq, a predicted model, not a curated record